UGUAAGUCUUCGUAAACUAGGGCCCAAUUCGGCCCCCAUACACAGACUCCAAUAUCGACCUAUGAAGAUAACCUCGACCGCGGGCGUACUGAUCGAGCUCAAGAAAACCGAGGUAUCCUCUACAAGUUUCGACUCUGCUCGCCGAAACCUCGGCUGGGUCCGAGGGCGAUAACUAUGAAAGCCCUGGCGUCGAUUUGAUUAUUGGCUCCUCUUCGGGGGACAGCACUAACCCUUCUAUAGACCUAUGGUCCAAAAGCCGAGCACGAAAGCUCGGCGAGACCCCCAGAUAGCGGCCUAUGCAAGUCUAGCACGGCCCCGCUCGGAGGCCUGAGGCCCGAGCUCGGUGCCUCAAGAAUCCAAAAGCCAAACAUGGCG
Molecule: long non-coding RNA, 375 nt
Filed under: Phoenix dactylifera (date palm)
Lineage: Eukaryota; Viridiplantae; Streptophyta; Magnoliopsida; Arecales; Arecaceae
Description: long non-coding RNA (PDAC_LNC006487)
Source: RNAcentral